Molecule: ribosomal RNA, 495 nt
Filed under: uncultured bacterium
Lineage: Bacteria
Description: partial 16S ribosomal RNA
Rfam family: Bacterial small subunit ribosomal RNA
Source: RNAcentral
GAUGAACGCUGGCGGCGUGCCUAAUACAUGCAAGUAGAACGCUGAAGGAGGAGCUUGCUCUUCUGGAUGAGUUGCGAACGGGUGAGUAACGCGUAGGUAACCUGCCUGGUAGCGGGGGAUAACUAUUGGAAACGAUAGCUAAUACCGCAUGACAACAGUUAUUGCAUGAUAACUGUUUAAAAGGGGCAACUGCUCCACUACCAGAUGGACCUGCGUUGUAUUAGCUAGUUGGUGAGGUAACGGCUCACCAAGGCGACGAUACAUAGCCGACCUGAGAGGGUGAUCGGCCACACUGGGACUGAGACACGGCCCAGACUCCUACGGGAGGCAGCAGGAGGGAAUCUUCGGCAAUGGACGGAAGUCUGACCGAGCAACGCCGCGUGAGUGAAGAAGGUUGUCGGAUCGUAAAGCUCUGUUGUAAGAGAAGAACGAGUGUGAGAGUGGAAAGUUCACACUGUGACGGUAUCUUACCAGAAAGGGACGGCUAACUACGUG